Molecule: ribosomal RNA, 465 nt
Filed under: Vreelandella stevensii
Lineage: Bacteria; Pseudomonadati; Pseudomonadota; Gammaproteobacteria; Oceanospirillales; Halomonadaceae
Description: partial 16S ribosomal RNA
Rfam family: Bacterial small subunit ribosomal RNA
Source: RNAcentral
CCUACGGGAGGCAGCAGUGGGGAAUAUUGGACAAUGGGGGCAACCCUGAUCCAGCCAUGCCGCGUGUGUGAAGAAGGCCCUCGGGUUGUAAAGCACUUUCAGUGAGGAAGAACGCCUGGUGGUUAAUACCCAUCAGGAAAGACAUCACUCACAGAAGAAGCACCGGCUAACUCCGUGCCAGCAGCCGCGGUAAUACGGAGGGUGCGAGCGUUAAUCGGAAUUACUGGGCGUAAAGCGCGCGUAGGUGGCUUGAUAAGCCGGUUGUGAAAGCCCCGGGCUCAACCUGGGAACGGCAUCCGGAACUGUCAAGCUAGAGUGCAGGAGAGGGAGGUAGAAUUCCCGGUGUAGCGGUGAAAUGCGUGGAGAUCGGGAGGAAUACCAGUGGCGAAGGCGGCCUUCUGGACCGACACUGACACUGAGGUGCGAAAGCGUGGGUAGCAAACAGGAUUAGAUACCCUAGUAGUC